This 1038-nucleotide long non-coding RNA is filed under the name Oncorhynchus kisutch (coho salmon). RNAcentral describes it as "lncRNA (ENSOKIG00005005821.1)". The record is from RNAcentral. Lineage: Eukaryota; Metazoa; Chordata; Actinopteri; Salmoniformes; Salmonidae.
AUGUUUCGUAUUGCGUCAGAUAACAACAUUGACGAAUACGCUGAUUCGGUGUGCGAGUUCAUUAGAACGUGUGUUGAAGAUGUCGUUCCCAUAGCAACGAUUAAAACAUUCCCUAACCAGAAACCGUGGAUUGAUGGCAGCAUUCGUGUGAAACUGAAAGCGCGAACCACUGCUUUUAAUCAGGGCAAGGUGUCUGGUAACAUGACCGAAUACAAACAGUGCAGCUAUUCCCUCCGCAAGGCUAUCAAACAAGCUAAGCGCCAGUACAGAGACAAAGUAGAAUCUCAAUUCAACGGCUCAGACACAAGAGGCAUGUGGCAGGGUCUACAGUCAAUCACGGACUACAGGAAGAAAUCCAGCCCAGUCACGGACCAGGAUGUCUUGCUCCCAGGCAGACUAAAUAACUGUUUUGCCCGCUUUGAGGACAAUACUGUGCCACUGACACGGCCUGCAACGAAAACAUGCGGUCUCUCCUUCACUGCAGCCGAGGUGAGUAAGACAUUUAAACGUGUUAACCCUCGCAAGGCUGCAGGCCCAGACGGCAUCCCCAGCCGUGCCCUCAGAGCAUGCGCAGACCAGCUGGCCUGUGUGUUUCCGGACAUAUUCAAUCAAUCCCUAUACCAGUCUGCUGUUCCCACAUGCUUCAAGAGGGCCACCAUUGUUCCUGUUCCCAAGAAAGCUAAGGUAACUGAGCUAAACGACUUCCGCCCCGUAGCACUCACAUCCGUCAUCAUGAAGUGCUUUGAGAGACUAGUCAAGGACCAUAUCACCUCCACCCUACCUGACACCCUAGACCCACUCCAAUUUGCUUACCGCCCAAAUAGGUCCACAGACGAUGCAAUCUCAACCACACUGCACACUGCCCUAACCCAUCUGGACAAGAGGAAUACCUAUGUGAGAAUGCUGUUCAUCGACUACAGCUCGGCAUUCAACACCAUAGUACCCUCCAAGCUCGUCAUCAAGCUCGAGACCCUGGGUCUCGACCCCGCCCUGUGCAACUGGGUACUGGACUUCCUGACGGCCGCCCCCAGGUGGUGA